UACCAGCUCUCCGAGUAGUGUGGAUGUUUAUUGGGCCUAAAGCAUCCGUAGCUUGCUAAGCAAGUCCCCUGUUAAAUCCACCGAUUCAAUCGGUGGAUUGCGGGGGAUACUGUUCGGCUAGGGGACGGGAGAGGCCGACGGUAUUUCCGGGGUAGGGGUGAAAUCCUAUAAUCCCGGGAAGACCACCAGUGGCGAAGGCUGUCGGCUAGAACGCGCCCGACGGUGAGGGAUGAAAGCUGGGGGAGCGAACCGGAUUAGAUACCCGGGUAGUCCCAGCUGUAAACGAUGCAGGCUAGGUGUUUGGGCGGCCACGACGCCGCUCUAGUGCCGCAGGGAAGCUGUUAAGCCUGCCGCCUGGGGAGUACGGCCGCAAGGCUGAAACUUAAAGGAAUUGGCGGGGGAGCACCACAGGGGUGAAGCUUGCGGUUU
Molecule: ribosomal RNA, 429 nt
Filed under: uncultured archaeon
Lineage: Archaea
Description: bacterial SSU rRNA
Rfam family: Archaeal small subunit ribosomal RNA
Source: RNAcentral